This is a long non-coding RNA of Talpa occidentalis (Iberian mole), 1834 nucleotides long. RefSeq lists it as uncharacterized. The record is from RefSeq and is a predicted model, not a curated record. NCBI's taxonomy places the organism in Eukaryota, Metazoa, Chordata, Mammalia, Eulipotyphla, Talpidae. The transcript has 11 exons.
UAAAGCGCGCCGCGAGGUGGGAGGCGGAAGAGAGGCCGGGCCCGGCCGAAGGGUGUGACCCGCGGGUGGCGGCGCGCGAAAUUAGGAAAAUGAGGUUCAUGGACAUUUGAAUCCGCUAUGGCUUGAAGAGUGUUCCAUCUACAAUGCAUAUGUUCAAGUCCGAAACCCCAGUUCCUGGGAAUGCGACCUGGUUGGAAGUGAGGUUUUACAACCGUAAUUCGUUAAGCUGAGGUCAUCCUGGAUUAGGCUGGGCCCCUCAACCACUAUGGCUCCUGUCCUUACCCAAAGAGGAAACCUGGACACACACGCACAGGAUAAGGCCAGAUUUUCAGGGAGAAGUACUGGCGUGGCUUCCUCUCCUGGAUAUCCAAGGGCAAACGUCUUGCAAAUAUCAUGGCCAAGCUGGAAGACAUCAGUUUCCAGCACAUUGCACUGGCACAUCCUUCUGCAUCUCUUCUGAGAGAUCAUGAUCCCUUCGUUGGUUAAGCCACUGCGAGACAUGCAAAGUGGACUGGGGAGCAGCAUACGCCAUCAACUGGAACAACUUGGGAGCCAACAGGUUCUGCUGAGCGAGGAUGAUCACCUGCACUCGGGGACCUGCAAAUGACGGGUCCAGGCAGCAACCACCCUGCCCUGUCACGAUGCCACCUGAUUUCUUUUAAGUCUCUACGGCUGUCACUUGGAGCCUUGCUUUCCUCCCAGGUUUCAUUGCCCACACGUGACAUCGCGUUGGUGCAAGAGACUAUGACCACUGCACAGAACAUAAAAGAAGAUGCUUUCUCCCAGACAAGUCUCUGGAAGGUUACCAGUAUGCCCCCAAGUUCUCUCCAAAGCAUACAAGUCCUUGCAUGUCAGUAUUGCAAAGACAUAGGUCAGUCUUUGCAAAAUUCCAAAGAAGCAGAAAUGGUUGCGUCUCAUUUCCAGUGGCUAUGGACUGACUUCGUUAUCUGUAAUUGGCGUUACAAGAAAGGGCAUCAGGGGAAGAACUGGGACUGAGGACAGAUACAGCGCUUCUCACCAACUUCCAGAAAGGACUCACCUGUCAAAAGAAGGCAGACUCUCCCGCCUGGCUUCUGGGGUCCAGCAGACACUCAUCCUGUCCAACCCUACGCCCACCUUUCUUCUCUACCUUUGUCAAGAUUUCUUUGGAUACAAAAAAAAAUCCAGAAACCUGAGAUUUGGGGCAAGUCUCCCAAUUUUUGGAACACUGGCAACAAAUUCUCAAAACACUGAGGGCAGAACCAUACAAGAUUGGUGGACCUGAUGCAGCGAGACUGCCUCCUUUGAGAGAGAAGAUUGGAGAAGGACCAGGAAGGAAGAGAAGAAAUAUUUCUGAGGAGAGAGGACACUUUGCCAGUGACCCUCCGCUAACCAACCAGAGAAUUCAGCCCAGCAGGAAAGAGUGGUAAAGACCACCGUUCUGGACACGCUGAACAUGCCAGCCCUGCGGAGGUAGGACGAUGGGCUCAGGAUAAGAAAUGAAGCAUUCCGGUGAAAUUCCUGCAGCGCUAUCCCUCCCCUGCAUGGGCCCUGGGAAGCUGAAGAUGGAGAGCUAUCUGAGGGACAGUCAGCGCCCCAGUUCCCGCUAAUGCAAUGUGACCAGUGUCAGGCAUGGGCAUGUGGGUGCCAGCUCUGAAAAUGGAGGGGUAGAUUCUGUUUGGGAGGCUGGGAGGCCAAGAUGAGGAAAUUAACAAACUCUUCUGGAAGAAUGACUCAUUCUCUCUGUGACCUUGGGCCAAUUACUCCAUGCCCUUAUCUUUUAAAUGGAGAUUAGAGAACAUCCUUUGGAAAGCUGAUGUGCAUAUUAAAUGAAAAGUUGAAUUAGGAACUGUGU